RNAcentral lists this microRNA precursor (96 nucleotides) under Branchiostoma floridae (Florida lancelet). RNAcentral describes it as "mir-2060 microRNA precursor family". It matches the Rfam family "mir-2060 microRNA precursor family". The record is from Rfam by way of RNAcentral. Lineage: Eukaryota; Metazoa; Chordata; Leptocardii; Amphioxiformes; Branchiostomatidae.
GUUUACGUGUGUGUGGAUGGUGUUCAGCACUAAGGACAGGUUUGUUUACCUGUGUGUGGAUUGUGUUCAGCACCAAGGAGAUAGGUGUGUUUUUGU